RNAcentral lists this ribosomal RNA (253 nucleotides) under uncultured bacterium. Its description in RNAcentral is "partial 16S ribosomal RNA". It matches the Rfam family "Bacterial small subunit ribosomal RNA", at positions 524 to 776 of the family's 1533-position model. The record is from RNAcentral.
UACGUAGGCAGCGAGCGUUGUUCGGAAUUACUGGGCGUAAAGAGUGUGUAGGCGGUGUUCCCAGUCUGUUGUGAAAUCUCCCGGCUUAACUGGGAGGGUGCAGCGGAAACUAGAAUGCUAGAGGGUGGGAGAGGUAAGCGGAAUUCCUGGUGUAGCGGUGUUAUGCGUAGAUAUCCGGAGGAACACCUGUGGUGUAGGCAGCUUCCUGGCCCACUUCUGACGCUGAGCCGCGAAAGCGUGGGUAGCAAACAGU